RNAcentral lists this non-coding RNA (45 nucleotides) under Schistosoma margrebowiei. Lineage: Eukaryota; Metazoa; Platyhelminthes; Trematoda; Strigeidida; Schistosomatidae. The record is from RNAcentral.
ACCCGGUUGACGGGUCCCAAAUAGGACGAAACGCGCGUCCUAUAU